AAGGGCGUAUGGCGGAUGCCUAGGCUCACGGAGGCGAUGAAGGACGUGAUAAGCUGCGAUAAGCCUCGGGUAGAUGCAAAUAAUCUUUGAUCCGAGGAUUUCCGAAUGGGACAACCUGACUGUCUGAAUGAUAGUCA
RNAcentral lists this small RNA (137 nucleotides) under Prevotella pallens ATCC 700821. It matches the Rfam family "Bacterial large subunit ribosomal RNA", at positions 13 to 150 of the family's 2925-position model. Lineage: Bacteria; Pseudomonadati; Bacteroidota; Bacteroidia; Bacteroidales; Prevotellaceae. The record is from RNAcentral.